RNAcentral lists this ribosomal RNA (440 nucleotides) under uncultured bacterium. RNAcentral's name for it is "partial 16S ribosomal RNA". It matches the Rfam family "Bacterial small subunit ribosomal RNA", at positions 338 to 795 of the family's 1533-position model. The record is from RNAcentral.
CCUACGGGAGGCAGCAGUGGGGAAUAUUGCACAAUGGGGGGAACCCUGAUGCAGCAACGCCGCGUGGGUGAAGAAGUACUCCGGUAUGUAAAGCCCUGUCAGCAGGGAAGAAAAUGACGGUACCUGACCAAGAAGCCCCGGCUAACUACGUGCCAGCAGCCGCGGUAAUACGUAGGGGGCAAGCGUUAUCCGGAUUUACUGGGUGUAACGGGAGCGUAGACGGGAAGGCAAGUCUGGAGUGAAAGCCCGGGGCCCAACCACGGGACUGCUUUGGAUACUGUGUUGCUGGAGUGCAGGAGAGGUAAGCGGAAUUCCUGGUGUAGCGGUGAAAUGCGUAGAUAUUAGGAAGAACACCGGUGGCGAAGGCGGCUUACUGGACUGUAACUGACGUUGAGGCUCGAAAGCGUGGGGAGCAAACAGGAUUAGAUACCCGAGUAGUC